GAUGAACGCUGGCGGCGUGCCUAAUACAUGCAAGUCGAGCGAACAGACGAGGAGCUUGCUCCUUUGACGUUAGCGGCGGACGGGUGAGUAACACGUAGGUAACCUACCUAUAAGACUGGGAUAACUUCGGGAAACCGGAGCUAAUACCGGAUAAUAUUUCGAACCGCAUGGUUCGAUAGUGAAAGAUGGCUUUGCUAUCACUUAUCGAUGGACCUGCGCCGUAUUGGCUAGUUGGUAAGGUAACGGCUUACCAAGGCAACGAUACGUAGCCGACCUGAGAGGGGGGUCGGCGACACUGGAGGUGAGACACGGUCCAGACUCCUACGGGAGGCAGCAGUAGGGAAUCUUCCGCAAUGGGCGAAAGCCUGACGGAGCAACGCCGCGUGAGUGAUGAAGGUCUUCGGAUCGGAAAACUCUGCUAUUAGGGAAGAACAAACGUGUAAGUAACUGUGCACGUCUUGACGGUACCUAAUCAGAAAGCCACGGCUAACUACGUG
Molecule: ribosomal RNA, 497 nt
Filed under: uncultured bacterium
Lineage: Bacteria
Description: partial 16S ribosomal RNA
Rfam family: Bacterial small subunit ribosomal RNA
Source: RNAcentral